AUGUGAAAAUUGUUACAACAUAUAUACUUCUCUAAAAAAACCACACGCUCAAUACAAUUACACUAUUUAAAAAGAACAACUAACUAUCUCCUAAAACAUAAAAAAAGAUAGAAAAAAAAAAGUAAGAUAUAAACUUAAAUUGUUUCUGACCGGUGUGAAUUAUAACGAAAAACUCAUCAAUAUAACCCUUAUUUUAUUAUUGUGUAUCAAAUAAUUAAAUCUUACGCUAAUGAGCACUAAAAUUAGAAUAUUAAAUUUUGAAAUUUAAUUUGCUAUUUCAAUGUAAUUAUCAUUAAUAAAGACUCCCUCAAAAACUGAAAUAACUAUGAAUGAAAACAAUCUAUUAUCUAUUAUAAUAUAUUAAAACAUAAUUUCAACUCUAUUGAAUGACACGUCAUACACUUAUGUGCUACAUCAUAAUAUUUGCGCCACAUCGUUUAUAUUAUUAUGUGGCACCCUUCAUAUAUCUCUAGUAGUCAUCUCACAUCUUCUAUUCCUCAGUUUAGCUUUUGCAUCUCACAUAUCGUAUACAUAAGUUAAAAAUUCUUUCAAAAAAGCUCAUCAUAAUAUAAUUCUACCAUCUUUUCACUUCAAUCAACAUUUGCGACUCCUCCAAUUCUAACUUUACAUAUCCUGUAGAUUAAUUGACAAUAAAAUAUGUCAUAUUGACAUUAUCUCAUCCCAAAUGUUCCAAUAAUCAUUUGCAAGUAUGAAUUCUCACGAAGCCAUAUAUAAAUUCAAUCUCACAAAGCCAUAUUUGAGUCUGAUCUCGUAAAGUCAUCUCUGUUCAUUUCUUGGAAAAUUUGUGUCAUUAUUACACUUAUCUUUGCCUAUGCAACUAACUAUAAAUUGUCCACACAACUAGACAAAAUAUUUUUAUAAAUAUGUAUUUAUAUGUUGUUUUGUGUUCUAAGAUAUUUUAUCGGUAUCAAAAGACAAAAAAUUUGAAGGAGCAUUUCAACACAUUUCAAAGGUACAUACUUUGAGUUUGAAAAAUUGAAUUUAUAUGUCAGAAAGAAUUCAAUUAUUAAGAUUUUCAUGACAUCUUUGGUAUUCUCUAUAUGUCAGAAAUAAUUCAGAUAUUUGCAAUUUUGUUUCAUUAUAUUAGAUUUUCAUGAUAUAUUCGGCAUUUUAUAUAACAAUUUGUAGCUUAUGUCCUAUUAAAAAAUUGUAGCUUAUGUCCUCAAAUCAAUAUAAAAACUAUUUUCAUCUACAAAAUUGAUCGCGACAUUCAAACAUAACCUCUUUCAUAUUUAAUCGAUUCAAUUUUAUAGAGUUCAAAUUCAUAUUACAUCUCACUUGAUCAUGAUAAAUUAUAAACUUUUAAAAUAAUGUGAUCUUAAUUUUUUUAAUUUUAAUAAUAAAAUUUAAUCAAUGACAUUUUACUAUUUAAUAUAAAAUAUUGCAAUUUUGAUUUUUUUAAUAGUUAAUUUAAUAAACAAUUUUUUGACAAAAUUAUUUUAAAAUAAUUGAAAUUUACUUUAAAUAAAACAUUUGAAGUUCCAACAAAUAAUUGUAUUUCCAGAUACGUUGUUAGUAUAUUUUUUAUUAUUAGGAACAGUAUUUAUAGAACAAAACAUGUGAUGCAUGGUUGAAUUGAUUAUUCCCUUGUGUAAAGGAACUUCGUUGUUCAUGUUGAAGAAGAUGUGCUAUUUUAAUUUCACUUUUGUUUUGAUAUAACUCUUUUAAACACUUCAUUUUUUUUUCUUCUAUCACAUUUAUUACACCAUUAUUUAUUUUAAUCUCUCAAUAGAUGUCAAAGGAAUAUAUAAAUGUCUAUUGCUAAUUUUCUUUAAUAAUAAUCAACACAUACCAUUGUUCAUUUUGUGGAUUUAUCUGAGAAACUAAUGUGACAAUCACAUUGAACAAAAUGAUGUACAUUUUGAUUAAUUGAAGUCAACUUGGUUACAUAAUCGAAUCUAUCUAUCUAUAUAUAUACACUAGUGUAGGCAUCAUGCCGUGUACGAGUUAGAGUAAAUAUUUUGAAUUUAAUAUAUAUAUAAACAAUGUAAAAUGAAAUUCAAUUAGAUGAAAAUGUAAAUGGUUUAGGAGAAAUAAUAAAAUAGGGAGAGACACGUGAGCUUUUAAAGUUGAGUUUUUAAUCUCAACAAUCUAUUUUAUUCUAAAAGGUUGAGAAAUAUUCCUCUCAUUUUCACAUAAAAAGAGUAUUCUUAUAAGAUAUCUUCUCUCUUUCUCUCUCUCUCUAUAUAUAUAUAAUAAGAAGAUUGAAUGAAGAUUUAGAAUACAAGGAGCUAUUAAUACUCUUAAGUAUAAUAUUUAUUAAGAUAAAUAAAUAUGUAACACAUUAUCAAUUAACUAUUCCACGGAUAUUGAGUGAGAUGACCAUUUUUCUCUAUAAAAAUUGGUCCUUUUUGGCUUAUAAUCCAAUUAUUAUAAUCCCAAUCAUCUCUAUCGGUUACGAAUAUGUCAAACCGAUGAAAUUCACCUUCCCACUGAAAGGAACAAUAAUAUCUUGUUGUGUGUGAAAAGUUUAUUCCAAAACUCCAAUCAAAAGACUUCUGAAAAGGAAGAACACGAACUCCCAAAUCAUCAUCUGCAGAUUUGCAAUGAGCAGUUAAGUCCAUCUUGUUUUCCAAUCCGUUAGUAACAUUCACAUGUGUUCCAAGAACAUUGUGUACGGAUAACAACAUCAACACACAUAUCAAAAGAAUUUUUUGAAUACAAGAAGACAUUGCAGCUUUAAUUAAUCUUUUAUUUGAAUGUGAGCAAUCUUUGUUAAAACAAGAUAAAAUAAUUUUUUGAAUAAAAUCAC
RNAcentral lists this long non-coding RNA (2773 nucleotides) under Cicer arietinum (chickpea). Its description in RNAcentral is "long non-coding RNA (CARI_LNC001379)". The record is from RNAcentral. Lineage: Eukaryota; Viridiplantae; Streptophyta; Magnoliopsida; Fabales; Fabaceae.